CGCGCAGGUGGUUUCUUAAGUCUGAUGUGAAAGCCCACGGCUCAACCGUGGAGGGUCAUUGGAAACUGGGAGACUUGAGUGCAGAAGAGGAAAGUGUAAUUCCAUCUUGUAGCGGGGGAAAAGCGUAGAGAAUAUGGAGGAACACCACGCGGCGAAGGGGACUUUUCUUGUUUUGUAAAAGACACUUAGGCGCGAAAAGAGUGGGGAGCAAACACGAGUUUAUACCCCCGUAGUUCACCCCCGUAAAAGAUGAGUGCUAAGUGUUUGAGGGUUUUCGCCCCUUUGUGCUGAAGUUAACGCAUUCAGCACUCCUCCUGGGGAGUACAGCCGCAAAGGUGAAAAUCAAAGGAAAUGACGGGGGGCCGCCCAAGAGGGUGGGGCAUGUGGUUUUAUUUGAAGCAACGCGAAGAACCUUACCAGGUGUUUACAUCCUUUGUCAACCCCAGAGAUAGGGCGUUUCCUUUUGGAGCACAGUGACAAGUGGUGCACGGUUGUUGUCAGCUCGUGUCGUGAGAUGUUGGGUUAAGUCCCCCAACGAGCGCAACCCCCGAUUUUUUUUGCCCUCAUUUUUUUGGGCACUCUAAGGUGACUGCCGGUGACAAACCGGAGGAAGGUGGGGGGGACGUCAAAACAUCAUGCCCCCUUUGACCUGGGGUACACACGUGGUACAAAAGACGGUACAAAGAGGUGCAAGACCGCGGGGGGGAGGUAAUUUUAUAAAACCCUUUUCAGUUCGGAUUGUAGGGUGCAACUCGCCUACAAGAAGCGGGAAUCGCUAGUAAUUGCGGAUCAGCAUGCCGCGGUGAAUAAGUUCCCCGGCCCUGUACACACCGCCCGUCACACCCCGAGAGUUUGUAACACCCGAAAUCGGUGGGGUGACCUUUUUGGAGCCAGCCGCCUAAGG
This 904-nucleotide ribosomal RNA is filed under the name Bacillus cereus. Its description in RNAcentral is "partial 16S ribosomal RNA". It matches the Rfam family "Bacterial small subunit ribosomal RNA", at positions 568 to 1462 of the family's 1533-position model. The record is from RNAcentral. Lineage: Bacteria; Bacillati; Bacillota; Bacilli; Caryophanales; Bacillaceae.